AGAGAGGGGCAGUCGGUCUGUACAUGCGUGAGGUGGCGAGAGGCGUGUCCAGGGGGCGGCUAGUAGCGUGUGCCACCGUGGAAAUAUGUACAGACAUAAAGAAGACGCCCUCAAGAAAGGCCUGAGUCCAGACCGAGACCCAGAGAAAUGUAAACAAACGCACCAGUCAGACUUGAUAUAGGAGUGAAUUUGUUGCUUUUUAAAGCGGCAGUCGGUCUGUACAUGUGUGAGGUGGCGAGAGGCGUGUCCAGGGGGCGGCUAGUAGCGUGUGCCACCGUGGAAAUAUGUACAGACAUAAAGAAGACGCCCUCAAGAAAGGCCUGAGUCCAGACCGAGACCCAGAGAAAUGUAAACAAACGCACCAGUCAGACUUGAUAUAGGAGUGAAUUUGUUGCUUUUUAAAGCGGCAGUCGGUCUGUACAUGUGUGAGGUGGCGAGGGGUGUCGCCAGGGGGCGGCUAGUAGCGUCUGCCACCAGGGAAAUAUGUAAAAACAUAAAAAAGACGCUUCUCAAGAAAGAGAGGGGCAGUCGGUCUGUACAUGCGUGAGGUGGCGAGAGGCGUGUCCAGGGGGCGGCUAGUAGCGUGUGCCACCGUGGAAAUAUGUACAGACAUAAAGAAGACGCCCUCAAGAAAGGCCUGAGUCCAGACCGAGACCCAGAGAAAUGUAAACAAACGCACCAGUCAGACUUGAUAUAGGAGUGAAUUUGUUGCUUUUUAAAGCGGCAGUCGGUCUGUACAUGUGUGAGGUGGCGAGGGGUGUCGCCAGGGGGCGGCUAGUAGCGUCUGCCACCAGGGAAAUAUGUAAAAACAUAAAAAAGACGCUUCUCAAGAAAGAGAGGGGCAGUCGGUCUGUACAUGCGUGAGGUGGCGAGAGGCGUGUCCAGGGGGCGGCUAGUAGCGUGUGCCACCGUGGAAAUAUGUACAGACAUAAAGAAGACGCCCUCAAGAAAGGCCUGAGUCCAGACCGAGACCCAGAGAAAUGUAAACAAACGCACCAGUCAGACUUGAUAUAGGAGUGAAUUUGUUGCUUUUUAAAGCGGCAGUCGGUCUGUACAUGUGUGAGGUGGCGAGGGGUGUCGCCAGGGGGCGGCUAGUAGCGUCUGCCACCAGGGAAAUAUGUAAAAACAUAAAAAAGACGCUUCUCAAGAAAGAGAGGGGCAGUCGGUCUGUACAUGCGUGAGGUGGCGAGAGGCGUGUCCAGGGGGCGGCUAGUAGCGUGUGCCACCGUGGAAAUAUGUACAGACAUAAAGAAGACGCCCUCAAGAAAGGCCUGAGUCCAGACCGAGACCCAGAGAAAUGUAAACAAACGCACCAGUCAGACUUGAUAUAGGAGUGAAUUUGUUGCUUUUUAAAGCGGCAGUCGGUCUGUACAUGUGUGAGGUGGCGAGGGGUGUCGCCAGGGGGCGGCUAGUAGCGUCUGCCACCAGGGAAAUAUGUAAAAACAUAAAAAAGACGCUUCUCA
This is a long non-coding RNA of Scylla paramamosain (green mud crab), 1463 nucleotides long. RefSeq lists it as uncharacterized. The transcript has 10 exons. Lineage: Eukaryota; Metazoa; Arthropoda; Malacostraca; Decapoda; Portunidae. The record is from RefSeq and is a predicted model, not a curated record.